GGCAGUACAGGUACGAGAAAAGCAUGGAAGACACUAAGCAAUUGCAAAUUGAAAGUUUCCAACAGCUUCCUUCGCCUUCAUUAUUCGCAUCUCAGAUUGAAUCCAAAAACGUCCCCGCUGUUUUCCGUGGAUGCAUAAAGGAAUGGAAAGCCUUCACCCGGUGGAAUCCUGUUAACGGCGGCCUCAAUUAUUUGCAGGAACUGGUGGGAUCAUCUACCGUUGAGGCUAUGCUAUCCAGAUCCGCUCCUGUCUUUUAUGGUGAUCUUCGAAGCCAUGAGAGGGUUCCAAUACCAUUCUCCACCUUUAUUGGUCUUUGUAAGGAGUUUAUGUCAAAUGCAGAAAGGCAUGAGCCUGCAGUGUCUGAUGCACAAGAGCAGGACCCUCUGCUAUCUGGUGAUGCUCCUCAAAAAAUUUAUUUGGCCCAGGUGCCAAUUAUGAAUACUGAGGAUCAAGAAAGGGUUCAACUGGGAGUUCUUAGGGAAGACAUUCAAACGCCUGCUUUUUUAGAGACAAAGGAACUGGCUUCUAUUAAUCUGUGGAUGAAUAGUGCUCCUUCUAGAUCAAGUACUCACUAUGAUCCACACCAUAAUGUUCUAUGCAUAGUUGCUGGUUGCAAACAAGUUGUCUUGUGGCCCCCUUCUGCAAGUCCAUCUUUAUACCCAAAGCCUAUAUACGGUGAAGCCUCGAACCACAGUUCUGUUGCUUUAGAAAACCCUGAUUUCUCAUUGUAUCCAAGAGCAGAAUGCUCCAUUGAGUACUCUCAGAAGGUAACUCUUCAUGCAGGUGAUGCACUUUUCAUCCCUGAAGGCUGGUUCCACCAAGUAGACAGUAGCAAUUUGACAAUUGCAGUUAACUUUUGGUGGCGGUCCAACAUAAUGUCUAGCAUGUUAGAACACAUGGAUGCUUAUUAUUUGCGCAGAAUAUUAAGAAGAUUGACGGAUAAAGAAAUGAACCACAUACUCCAGAAGGCUUCUUCUCCUAGCAUGGAGAAACAGAAGAUGCCCACAUGCAAGCUGCUUAGUAAUGGAGAGGCAGAUCAUAGUCACUGUGAUUUGAUGCAGCCAUGUGAAAAAAGUGAUUUACAAGGGACAGACCAACAGCAGAGAGUUAACUUGCAUCUAUUGGAGCCUUAUGCACUCCAGGUUCUUCAUGAUCUUGUUUCUUUGGUUCAUGACCGUGUUAACUUGAUUGACCAAAGUCAUUUGGUAGAGUCAACUUCAGCAAAUGAUUCUGCAGUUAGUAUGAAAGGUCAAUAUGAUAAGACAGCAACAACUAAUGUGUUUAUCCUUGAAGAUGAUCCAGUUGCUAAAAUUCUUUGGACCCUUGAUCCACACACUCUUCAGAAUGUCCUUCUUUCUAUGGCGGACAAUUUUCCAAGAACUUUGGAGGCUUUGAUACUGCACUUGCUUUCACCGGUGGGAGCAGAAGUACUCACACAGAAAUUUGAUGAGAUGGAUCAACUAACCACUGAAGAAAAUAGGAACAAAUUCUAUGAAGUUUUCUAUGAGGCAUUUGAUGACCAAUUUGCUGCUAUGGAUGCAAUUCUGAAUGGGAAAGAAUUAUUUGCUCUCCAGUUGGACAAGAAUCUUCCAAGCAUGCCAAUAGAUAGAACACUUCCUGGACGUUUCAGAAUCCAUCUGAAAUGAAACUAAUGUUUAUCAAGGAUGAUGGGAUUAUGCUUCAGGGACACACACGCAUUUCAGAAUGUGUUGGAUAAAUACUUGGGAGUAAGCUUUGAUGUGCGAAAACCAUCAACUGGAUAAGACGUUUAGUGACGCAACUUCAUGAAGGAAUUGGUCCCAUCAAAAGAGUCCAUCAGUGAAGAAGCUUUCUGUCUUAAUCGUACUUUUACGUGUGAGUCAUCCACAAUUUUGUAGAAAUAUAAAUCAUUGCCAACUUUGAAUGAUGAUGUAUAUCUCAGCUGUAACUUGCCGUACCAUCCAAUUUCUUUGCCUUUAAUGAUACUUGCACAAACAAUUGUUUAAAAUCUUGUGGAGUCUAAAUUAUGAAAGUCACGUUUGUGUUUCCUGAUAUGGGAUCCAAAUGGUCCAUGAAAGAUUGUAACAGCUAAGAAGGCAUAUUCAGAGGAUGGGUUCCUGUAUCUUGCUGAAUCAAUAGCAAUUUUUCCCCAGACAAAAAUCUUGCAGGUUUAAAUUUGACCAAAAUUGUUGGAAAUGUUGUGUUAGAUAAUAAUCUUCUGUUAGGAUGUGAUAUGCUCAAGCCAACAAGAAUGCCUGUUGAUAUUCUUUGAUACCGGGGGUAUCAUGGAUGAGUAACACGUGGAAAGUAUUUGGAAGGGUAUGAAUACGGUGAUGAGAAUGUAGAUGAUGACUUACGUUCAGUAUAUGUUGUUCGGGUGGUAAGGACUUUGGUCCGAGCGGGUGAGAUUGGGUUUCUGUGAUUUGUAUCUGCUUCUACAAGAUAGCAAAGUAUUAGAGAACCAAAAGGGAGCUAUUUCCUAGUGGCACUCCAAUAAUUAAGUUAGUGAGGGUUGAAAGGAUAAAGGAUGGCAAAAUAAUAAGAGAGCUAAGUAUGAGUUCGAAUGUUUUACCUAAAGGUGCCUUAACGUUUUAUAUAUUGAUUGUUGGAUCAAUGGUAUGGUGGAGUGCCAGGUGUUGUU
Molecule: unclassified non-coding RNA, 2620 nt
Filed under: Hevea brasiliensis (rubber tree)
Lineage: Eukaryota; Viridiplantae; Streptophyta; Magnoliopsida; Malpighiales; Euphorbiaceae
Source: RNAcentral